RNAcentral lists this ribosomal RNA (1576 nucleotides) under Limosilactobacillus fermentum. RNAcentral's name for it is "bacterial SSU rRNA". It matches the Rfam family "Bacterial small subunit ribosomal RNA". Lineage: Bacteria; Bacillati; Bacillota; Bacilli; Lactobacillales; Lactobacillaceae. The record is from RNAcentral.
UUAUAUGAGAGUUUGAUCCUGGCUCAGGAUGAACGCCGGCGGUGUGCCUAAUACAUGCAAGUCGAACGCGUUGGCCCAAUUGAUUGAUGGUGCUUGCACCUGAUUGAUUUUGGUCGCCAACGAGUGGCGGACGGGUGAGUAACACGUAGGUAACCUGCCCAGAAGCGGGGGACAACAUUUGGAAACAGAUGCUAAUACCGCAUAACAGCGUUGUUCGCAUGAACAACGCUUAAAAGAUGGCUUCUCGCUAUCACUUCUGGAUGGACCUGCGGUGCAUUAGCUUGUUGGUGGGGUAACGGCCUACCAAGGCGAUGAUGCAUAGCCGAGUUGAGAGACUGAUCGGCCACAAUGGGACUGAGACACGGCCCAUACUCCUACGGGAGGCAGCAGUAGGGAAUCUUCCACAAUGGGCGCAAGCCUGAUGGAGCAACACCGCGUGAGUGAAGAAGGGUUUCGGCUCGUAAAGCUCUGUUGUUAAAGAAGAACACGUAUGAGAGUAACUGUUCAUACGUUGACGGUAUUUAACCAGAAAGUCACGGCUAACUACGUGCCAGCAGCCGCGGUAAUACGUAGGUGGCAAGCGUUAUCCGGAUUUAUUGGGCGUAAAGAGAGUGCAGGCGGUUUUCUAAGUCUGAUGUGAAAGCCUUCGGCUUAACCGGAGAAGUGCAUCGGAAACUGGAUAACUUGAGUGCAGAAGAGGGUAGUGGAACUCCAUGUGUAGCGGUGGAAUGCGUAGAUAUAUGGAAGAACACCAGUGGCGAAGGCGGCUACCUGGUCUGCAACUGACGCUGAGACUCGAAAGCAUGGGUAGCGAACAGGAUUAGAUACCCUGGUAGUCCAUGCCGUAAACGAUGAGUGCUAGGUGUUGGAGGGUUUCCGCCCUUCAGUGCCGGAGCUAACGCAUUAAGCACUCCGCCUGGGGAGUACGACCGCAAGGUUGAAACUCAAAGGAAUUGACGGGGGCCCGCACAAGCGGUGGAGCAUGUGGUUUAAUUCGAAGCUACGCGAAGAACCUUACCAGGUCUUGACAUCUUGCGCCAACCCUAGAGAUAGGGCGUUUCCUUCGGGAACGCAAUGACAGGUGGUGCAUGGUCGUCGUCAGCUCGUGUCGUGAGAUGUUGGGUUAAGUCCCGCAACGAGCGCAACCCUUGUUACUAGUUGCCAGCAUUAAGUUGGGCACUCUAGUGAGACUGCCGGUGACAAACCGGAGGAAGGUGGGGACGACGUCAGAUCAUCAUGCCCCUUAUGACCUGGGCUACACACGUGCUACAAUGGACGGUACAACGAGUCGCGAACUCGCGAGGGCAAGCAAAUCUCUUAAAACCGUUCUCAGUUCGGACUGUAGGCUGCAACUCGCCUGCACGAAGUCGGAAUCGCUAGUAAUCGCGGAUCAGCAUGCCGCGGUGAAUACGUUCCCGGGCCUUGUACACACCGCCCGUCACACCAUGAGAGUUUGUAACACCCAAAGUCGGUGGGGUAACCUUUUAGGAGCCAGCCGCCUAAGGUGGGACAGAUGAUUAGGGUGAAGUCGUAACAAGGUAGCCGUAGGAGAACCUGCGGCUGGAUCACCUCCUUU